Molecule: long non-coding RNA, 4568 nt
Organism: Quercus robur (English oak)
Lineage: Eukaryota; Viridiplantae; Streptophyta; Magnoliopsida; Fagales; Fagaceae
Exons: 2
Source: RefSeq, a predicted model, not a curated record
CUAGAUUUAAGGCUUAUUAUGGAUUAUAGAGCAGGUCAGUGAUGAAAGAUGUAGAAAAGAAUAUAGACUUGUUAAGACAAUGGAAUGAAAGCAAGUGACUUGCAUGUGUUCAAUGCAUUAAAGAGAGAUGGGAAAGUUAUUUUGAUAUAUUAUUUAAUGGAAGCCACACAAAAGAUUAGAGAACACCAAGUUUCACCCAACCGAGGAUAGAAAUCAUAGGUUUGUUUGAAGAAUUAGGAUGAUCGGGUAAAUGACGCAUUGAGGAUGAUGAAUCCUAUAAGAAUUGUGGACCUGAUGAAUUAACCAAUUUUGUUUGGAAGUGUUUGGGUCAUGAGAUGAAAAGAUCUUUAAGUGAUAACAAACUGUCUAGUGAGUGGUGAAAAAGACUCAAACAUCCAUGUACAAUAAUAAGGAAUAUAUUCAAAAUUGUACAAAUUAAUGUGCAAUUAAGCUUAUGAGUCACUAUGAACUUUUGGGAGAAUAACAAUAUUGGAGAUUUACUUUGAUUUUAUUCUAAGGUGAUCUAUCAUAGAGGUUAUGUUAUUAUAUGUCUAAUGGAAAAAUGUAGAAAAUGUAGAGAAGUCUGUGAAGAUCUUUAUAUGGGUUUUAUUGACCUAGAGGAAGCGUAUGAUAGAGUACCUAUGAGGGUUUUUGUGGUGGGUUUUAAAAUAGAAACAAGUUUCUUUAGAGUAAAUUAAAUUGAUUAAGACCACGGAAUUAAUUAAGUUUUAUGUUUGAUAUAGCUUAAACUAGUUAUCUCAUUGGAUGAAUUCAAUAUGAAGUCUUUUGGUGUAUGCCUUUUGGGGAUGAUAUAGUUUUAGUUGAUGAAAUUUGACAUGGAGUUAAUGUCAAGUUAGAAAUUCGUAGAGAUGCUUUACAAGCUAAAGGCUUUCAGCUAAGUAUAACUUAGUCAGAUUACAUGGAACAUAUAUGUCUAUUUGUUUUAAGAGUAGAUAUCUUCUGCUGCCCCUUAUUUUCUUGGUAAAAAUGCCAUAGUAGUUGGAUUUAGUGAUGCAUUGCUAUUAUAUGUUCUCUCUUAUCUUUUGCAGAAUUCCUCAAGCUUUGACAUAUAAUUGAUUGACAACGAGAGAGAGCACGCUUGUAAGCAUUCAUGAAACGGUCAUGACUGUGUACAUGCGUGCUCGUUCUCGUUGUCAUGCAAUUUCCCAACUGCAGCAGGUUUCUUUGGUCUGUAUACAUGUUAUUGGGCAUCUGGGUAGCAGGUGGUUUCGAUCUCUUAUGUACACUAAUUCAAAAUAUAGAAUACUUAAUAUAACUCUAGGUCUAUAGAACCUAUAUGGAAAUUAAGAAUGUUUGUGUGAAUAUACAAAUUCAAAAUAUAGAAUCCGUAUAACUUUAUAUCUAUAAUGCCUAUAUGGCAUGGCAAUUAAGAAUGUGUGUGUGUGUGUGUUAAGUUCAUGUUAUACCUAGUGUAAGCUUUGUUAAUGUUAAAUUACUUUUUAUUGUAUGUUAUUUUUCAAAAAAAAAAAAAAAAAAAAAUCCAUCAUUGGAUUACAUUGUUUUCUUAUAUACACUUAUGCUUGCAAAAUAUUACUAAAUUUCAAGAUGAUUAAACUACUAAUAACUAUUUCAUCUAUAACUUAAAAAAAAAAUUAUACACAAAAUAUAAGUUUAUAUAUGCUAACUAACCAAGCUCUCUCUCUCUCUCUCUCUCUCUCUCUAAUAUUAUUUUAAACUUAUAAAAAAGGUUAUAUAUUAGGUAGUAAAUACUAUUUGAUUACCACAUAAUUUUGGUGUACAUGUUAAACUUGUAAUCCAAUAGUGGGAUUUGAAAAAUGGAAAUUCAUUAGAAAAAUAUUUAAGUGGUGUAACAUUAACAAAAUCAAAAUGUUACUAUAGGUGUAAUUAAAGAUCUUAAGAGGGAUUUGAAAAAUAUCAAUUCAAUUUAAGUGGUGUAACAUUGUCAAAAUGUUACUUUGGUGUAAUUUGAUCUUUACCAUAUGCAUAUGGGCUUAUGUAAGAUCAACCUGCCGUGAAAGAUGAAAUCCCAUUUUGGGUACAGCUACUUAAUUGGCUUGAAUUUUUCUAAAUAUUAAUGCUCAUUUUGUAAUUUAUUUUUUUAUAUUCAUUAAUUUCAUAGCUUUUUAAUUGCACACAACUUUUUUUUGUUGUUCAUAGCCUUUUUAUAUUUUUGAAUAGGCAGAAAAAGUAUUUUACCUGGUGAUCCCUUUAAGAAACAUGCAUGGUUUGUUGACACCACCCCCCCCCCCCCCCCCCCCCCCCCCAAAAAAAAACCAAAAAAAAAAAAAAAAAAAAAUCCUUUUUUACUUGCUCUUGUUGGAAUUUUCGGUAAUUUAAGGAAUUAUUUUAUAGAAACAUUAAAGGGCUCUGAUAUCUCUUGGGUUUUGCCUUAAUAGUUGGACUUUAUAGAGGGGUCACACACACACAUUCUCUCUAGCCAUGCAAUGGUUGUGUCAUUAUAAUGUAUAACUACUCUAUAAAGCAUUAGAUGGGCUUUGUACAGUUUACAAACACAAGGUGGUUUUUUAAAUUUUUUUAUUUUUAAUAUUAAGGGUUUACUAAGAAAGUGCAAUUGGGGAGGGCACAACACAUGAAGUUCAGGUAAAUUUUGAAAAAGAAUAUUGUCUUGUGGCCUUCAUCUAGAUAAGGAUCUAAGGAGUAAUAUAUAUCAGGUCUAAAAUUGGUAUUUCAGUGUUUCCUUCCCUCCAAAUAAUCACAUGAGACAAUGAGGGAUUGCAGACAAUGAGAAGCUUGUAAGUUUCGUCUUACAUGUUUUUUUCCAUGUUUGUGCCUGUCAUAGAAUUAUUAAUGGACAAAUCUUUCAAUGUUCAAAUUUCUUUUCUUUUUUCCUUUGUUUUUGCUAGGGCAUAUAUGUGGUAUAUUAAACAUUUGUUUUCACAUUUGUUUUCAAAGAUGGUUUUAGUCUUUUAGAUCAUAUUAGGUUUGUGAUUUAAUAUCUAGAAAUCUGUCCUUUUCAUCUCAUUUCCAAAGUCCUAGUGUGUAAGAAUUAUUUCUUUCCAAGUUGGUUGGCAUAACCUUGCAAAUAGCUCUAAGUAGUGGUGCCGGUCACUGUCACUCAUUUGCAUCAUAGAAGUUGCUGCAUAUGCAGAGCUCAGAAAUGAUUGAAUAAAAUUGUAAUUGAGUUGGAAAGAAGCCAGUUGUUGUGUGAGUUGUUGAAAAUGGUUGACACAAUUAGAAGGUGGUAUCCUAUUUUAGAGUGCAAAUAAUGGGUUUCAUCUUUCGUUUUCAGAGGUAGCAUGCAAUAGCGAGUAUGUAAAAAGAUUUUUUCUAUGAAAUAAUUUAUGAAACAUCAUAAAUGGGAAAUAAUUUUUCUUCUUUGGGGGUGGCAACAUUUUGAGCCAAACUGUCAUAGAUUUCCUUUAUAUGUGCUCUAUUCAAGUGAAUCUUUUGUAUAUCUUUCAUUUUUCUCUAGUUAUUUUGGCCAUCCUACUUGUUCUAUGAAAUGGUCCAUAUAUUUAAGAAAUAAUUUUAUUUUUCUUUGUACUCUCAAAUUGUAUAUCUUUACAAUGUUGACAUUCAUAUAUUCUUGCUACUCAUAGGAAAAAGGUCUUGUAAUGGUAUGAUUAGCUACAAGAGUAGCAGGAUGCCAGUUUUAAUUAUAGGGAAGAAGAAAAUAAAAAUAUGUAGAGCAAUUGAACAUUGCUUUUUAAAAAAAAAAAAAAAACCACAGAACUUGAAAGUAAUAUUUAGAUAUUUCUGUGGCCUUUAUUAAUUGAUUAUAAUUAAGUAACUUGAUUGUCUUUCAUGUCCUCUAUGCAUCAACUUAUUUCUUUUCAUUGGUUUAAUGGUUAUGAGAUUAACUAUUCAGGAUUAUUGUAAAUGGUUUGGUUGCUAAUUUAUUUGCACAAGAUUAUUGAACUCACUAUCAUAAAUUGUUGACUACUGUUUAUUGCAUGUUACAGUUGUGUAUUUCUAUAGUGUUGUAUUUACAGGAAUUAAUCUAUUCAGAACUGUGUUUUGUUUCAUGUUAUAUUUUAAAUUCAAAUAAUGUUGCUUACAUUGCUACUAUUUUAAUUAAAUCCAUGUUUUAUGAAAGAUGCUUGUGUAGUUAGUUGAGAUCUUCAAGAACUUUGAGAAAAUUAAUGAUUGUGCUGAAAAGAUAUCAAGCUAUAAGCACACACUUAGAUGGAUAUAGCUAUGAAAAUGACAUUGUGCAAUUUUUAUUUCCAUUUGAGGAACUAACUAAAUGAGUAAAUGUUCAUUUAAUUAUUGGUAAUUUUUGUAUGUCAUUUUUAUUAUUGUUGUCAAAUUUUUCUUGCUAUUUUAUUUAACUCACAAAACUGCUGCACGAAUAUAUAUUUUUAAUCGUUGAAUAAAUUGUUCCUAUUCAUAUUAGACUUGAUCUUGAUCUUGAUCACGACUAGAAUAAACUACUUGAAUGCAGAAACACACUCAAUUUGUUAUUUAUUUUGAUAUUUUUUCGUCUUCAAUUUUCUCAAAUUUGCUCAUAAGCAUUUCGAAGUCUGUAAUCACUACUAUAGAUUGAAUAGAAAAUGGAAGAUUUUAGCCAUUUAAUGAAACAUUGAUACAUCAAUCAUCAAGAAUCUGAUUUAGUUCCCUUUUGC